GUCGUUCCUUUGGGGUGCGACGUGUCUCAGGUGAGGUGGUGUCGAGGUCUUGGAUGCUGGGGCGGCGGCCCUGGUGGUGGUAGCGCAGUGCUUGUGGGCAGAGCCCGUGCCUUGGUGCUGCCCAGUCACCAUGGUCGUGUGGGCGGCGUGGUGUCCGGGGUGUGGCUUCGGUGGCGAUGAGUGUUGGCCAAGGUGAAAACCUUUUCUAUCUUCGGACGGACCAGCGGCGGCGAAGAUCGUUCCCUUCUUGAAGGCGUCGUCGCGGCUCUCAUUGUCUGUCAUGCGGUUCCGGGGGAAACUCUGAUCUUUGGAUCGGGCGGUGGCGGCGAUUCGGUGUCGUUCCCGUCCUGAAGGCGCCGCCUUGGAGCACAUGGUUCGCCAUAUGUAGCUUCAUCUCUGCGUGGGUAGUGCUAGGGGUGGUGUUGCUGCGCUCAGCACCUAUGUAUCCUACCCUGGGUGUGUGCGUGUGUUGCGGUGGCGGGGCGUGUGUUUGUACUGGGUGCUUGUUGAUUGAUGCUUUAUAUAUAAAGCGGGGCGAAAGCCUUUUUCGGUAAGAUCACACUAAAAUCCUUUUUUUAAAGCUCUCAUGGCUGAGUUGAAUUUCUUCUUGGUUGGUUUAGUAGACGGAAAGUUAGCCUCGUCUCCAAAUUCUGAAAUACGGAGUAUAAUUUUUGUUUACUAAAAAGAUUAAUUGACUUUUAACAGCUGGGGUGAUGUGAUCUGUUUUUCAACCAUGUUAACGUAUACUUUUGGAAUGGAAAAUCAAUCUAUAUCUAUUUGUUUAAACAGAGAGAGGACCUGUUUUUCAACCGCAUUAAUGUAUACUUUCGGAACAAAAAUGACAUUAUAUCUAUUUUUAAGCUUUUCCAAAAUUGGAAGCUGGAAGAUGUAUACUUUUGGCUGCACGGUGAUUUUUUUCUGCCUAUCCGUCCAUUCUACUGAACCUGAUCAUCUCUGAUUAGUGUUGUUCCUACUUCUUGCAGGGUAAACCAUUGAGUGGCAAUGAUACAUGUGUGUCCAUUGCAACUUAGAGGUACGACAUAGUGAUUAGCAGCAUGAGGUGCUGAGCACAUCGCGUGUGUGUCUGUAUGUGUGCGCUGAUAUGUGGUUCAUGAGGAACAAACUGAUUAAGCAUGCUCCAAAGCUACGAGCGACUGAACUAGGUAUCUUUUCUAUUUUCAUGGUGAAGCCUGGUUUUAACUGCUAAAGAAUAGCAGGAGAUGGAAUCAUUGAAAUACAAUCAAUUCUUAAGUAAAUGAACUGAGACUUGAUGGUUGUGUGUUAUUGGUACAAUAUGUAUUUUGGGCCUGAAUGAAGCAAAUCGAGAAUUCCUGGUUACUUAUUAUUAGUAUAGUAUACCUUUUUUGGGCCUGAAUUCUGAACCUUGCUGAUUUUUUUUAGUAGUGUGUUAUCAGUGUAGUAUGCAUUUUUGGCCUGAAUCCUUAACCUUAUCUAGGUAUUGAUUUUCUGCAAUCAGUGAAGCACUCAUGGUCAUGCGUAUUUGUUAGUCUACAUUACUUAUAGAUUUAGUUGUUUUGAUAUGUAUCCAUUCGUCGGUUAGUUAACUGAAAUUUGUUGGCAGUGGUUCUUUAUGUUCUUUAACUGUUAUACAGAAGCAGCGGACUGAAACAUUUAAAAACAAUCAGCUCUUUAUGAAUUAACUAAAGACUUGAUGGUUGCGUUAUUAUUAUAGUAUAUACAUUUUUGGGCCUGAAUUACAAAUCUGAUUCAAAUAUCCUUGUUUUGUGUUAUUAUUAUGGUAAUGUUAUCGAGCUUUGUUAAUGUUUUUUUUUCUUUCCUUCCUGAACUUCUGAUACUCUCUGCAGUGAUGAACUGUUUUUGCAUGUCAGUUAAGUACCAGGGCAACCACAGAUGAUGUUCCUUCCAUUCAUUGAGUUGCCUUACUGUUAUGUCGUCCAACUUUUUGUUAAUAUACACACUCGACAACUUACUGUUAUAACGUCCAACUUUUUGUUAAUAUACACACUUGAUUCUGGAACCCAUGAACUCUUUGUUUCUCCGAGGACAUGUUUCACAUCUACUCCUGUUUGUAAAAAAACAUUAUAGUCUAUUAUGUGUUAUAUAGUCAAAAAAUACAUAAUUGGUUCUCUUCUAUGUGCUUUCCUUAAUGAAUACACUUGGUUCACAAAAGCCUUAGCAUAAUUUGUUGAACAAGUUUUGCCUAAUUUUAUUUCUUGCAUCUCCUGUGGUAAGUUUUAUUUCUUGGUACUUGUAAAAUUGUUCAGAUUACUUAGCUUCGUUCAACUGCUGUGUUGUCUAAAUCUACUGUGCCUAUAAACAUACGUGCUUGCCCGUGACCAUGUCGGCUAUGUUGUUAUUCUUUCUUGAAUUGGUAG
RNAcentral lists this long non-coding RNA (2357 nucleotides) under Triticum aestivum (bread wheat). Its description in RNAcentral is "long non-coding RNA (TAES_LNC005520)". Lineage: Eukaryota; Viridiplantae; Streptophyta; Magnoliopsida; Poales; Poaceae. The record is from RNAcentral.